AUUGAACGCUGGCGGCAGGCCUAACACAUGCAAGUCGAACGAGUGGCGGACGGGUGAGUAAUGUCUGGGAAACUGCCCGAUGGAGGGGGAUAACUACUGGAAACGGUAGCUAAUACCGCAUACCAUCGGAUGUGCCCAGAUGGGAUUAGCUGGUAGGUGAGGUAACGGCUCACCUAGGCGACGAUCCCUAGCUGGUCUGAGAGGAGGACCAGCCAAACGGGAACUGAGAAACGGUCCAGACUCCCACGGGAGGCAGCAGUGGGGAAUAUUGCACAAUGGGCGCAAGCUCGAUGCAGCCAUGCCGAGGGUGUGAAGAAGGCCUUCGGUUUGUAAAGUACUUUCAGCUGGGAGGCGUUACCCGCAGAAGAAGCAACUGCUAACUCCGUGCCAGCAGCCGCGGUAAUAC
Molecule: ribosomal RNA, 406 nt
Filed under: uncultured bacterium
Lineage: Bacteria
Description: partial 16S ribosomal RNA
Rfam family: Bacterial small subunit ribosomal RNA
Source: RNAcentral